UCCGGUUUGUCACCGGCAGUCUCGCAUGAGUCCCCAACUAAAUGCUGGCAACAUGCGACGGGGGUUGCGCUCGUUGCGGGACUUAACCCAACACCUCACGGCACGAGCUGACGACAGCCAUGCAGCACCUGUACUAGCUCCCCGAAGGGUCCUUUGUCUUUCGACUCCGUACCACUAGCAUGUCAAGCCUUGGUAAGGUUCUUCGCGUUGCAUCGAAUUAAACCACACGCUCCACCGCUUGUGCGGGUCCCCGUCAAUUCCUUUGAGUUUUAAUCUUGCGACCGUACUCCCCAGGCGGGAUGCUUAACGCGUUAGCUACGCCACCGAGGGGGAACCCCCCGACGGCUAGCAUCCAUCGUUUAGGGCUAGGACUAC
This 375-nucleotide unclassified non-coding RNA is filed under the name uncultured bacterium. RNAcentral describes it as "contains 16S-23S intergenic spacer region". The record is from RNAcentral.